This 536-nucleotide ribosomal RNA is filed under the name Botryotrichum murorum. RNAcentral's name for it is "LSU rRNA". It matches the Rfam family "Eukaryotic large subunit ribosomal RNA", at positions 66 to 629 of the family's 3401-position model. The record is from RNAcentral. Lineage: Eukaryota; Fungi; Ascomycota; Sordariomycetes; Sordariales; Chaetomiaceae.
CAACGUGUAUUGCCCAGUAACGGCGAGUGAAGCGGCAACAGCUCAAAUUUGAAAUCUGGCUUCGGCCCGAGUUGUAAUUUGCAGAGGAAGCUUUAGGCGCGGCACCAUCUGAGUCCCCUGGAACGGGGCGCCACAGAGGGUGAGAGCCCCGUAUAGAUGGACGCCUAGCCUGUGUAAAGCUCCUUCGACGAGUCGAGUAGUUUGGGAAUGCUGCUCUAAAUGGGAGGUAAAUUUCUUCUAAAGCUAAAUACCGGCCAGAGACCGAUAGCGCACAAGUAGAGUGAUCGAAAGAUGAAAAGCACUUUGAAAAGAGGGUUAAAUAGCACGUGAAAUUGUUGAAAGGGAAGCGCUUGUGACCAGACUUGCGCCGGGCGGAUCAUCCGGUGUUCUCACCGGUGCACUCCGCCCGGCUCAGGCCAGCAUCGGUUCUCGUGGGGGGACAAAGGUCCCGGGAACGUAGCUCCUCCGGGAGUGUUAUAGCCCGGGGCGUAAUGCCCUCGCGGGGACCGAGGACCGCGCUUCGGCAAGGAUGCUGG